Molecule: ribosomal RNA, 449 nt
Filed under: uncultured bacterium
Lineage: Bacteria
Description: bacterial SSU rRNA
Rfam family: Bacterial small subunit ribosomal RNA
Source: RNAcentral
GUGGGGAAUCUUGCGCAAUGGGCGAAAGCCUGACGCAGCGACGCCGCGUGAGCGAUGAAGGCCUUCGGGUCGUAAAGCUCUGUGGGGAGGAAAGAAUAAGGGCGAGCUAAUAUCUCGCCUGAUGACGGUACCUCCUUAGCAAGCACCGGCUAACUCUGUGCCAGCAGCCGCGGUAAGACAGAGGGUGCAAACGUUGUUCGGAAUUACUGGGCGUAAAGCGCGUGUAGGCGGCUACGUAAGUCGGACGUGAAAGCCCGCAGCUCAACUGCGGAAGUGCGCUCGAAACUGUGUAGCUUGAGUUCUGGAGAGGAAGGCGGAAUACCUGGUGUAGAGGUGAAAUUCGUAGAUAUCAGGUAGAACACCAGUGGCGAAGGCGGCCUUCUGGACAGAUACUGACGCUGAGACGCGAAAGCGUGGGGAGCAAACAGGAUUAGAUACCCCUGUAGUCC